UACGAGGGUUGCAAGCGAUGCUCGGCAUUAUUGGGCGUAAAGGGUAGGUCGGUGGUCUCAUUUGUCUGGGGGGAAAGCCUUGAGCUUAACUCAAGAAGUGCCCCGGAAACGGUGAGACUGGAGUCUUGGAAAGGGUCGGAGAUUUCCCGGUGUAGCGGUGAAAUGCGUAGAGAUCGGGAGGAACGCCAGAGGCGAAGGCGGCGACCUGGACAAGUACUGACACUCAACUACGAAAGAGUGGGGAGCAAACAGG
This 253-nucleotide ribosomal RNA is filed under the name uncultured bacterium. RNAcentral's name for it is "partial 16S ribosomal RNA". It matches the Rfam family "Bacterial small subunit ribosomal RNA", at positions 524 to 776 of the family's 1533-position model. The record is from RNAcentral.